GUCCACGCCGUAAACGAUGUCAAUUAGCCGUUGGAAAUCUUGUAUUUUUAGUGGCGCAGCUAACGCGAUAAAUUGACCGCCUGGGGAGUACGGCCGCAAGGUUAAAACUCAAAUGAAUUGACGGGGGCCCGCACAAGCGGUGGAGCAUGUGGUUUAAUUCGAUGCAACGCGAAGAACCUUACCAGGUCUUGACAUCCAGAGAACUUUCCAGAGAUGGAUUGGUGCCUUCGGGAACUCUGUGAC
Molecule: ribosomal RNA, 243 nt
Filed under: uncultured bacterium
Lineage: Bacteria
Description: partial 16S ribosomal RNA
Rfam family: Bacterial small subunit ribosomal RNA
Source: RNAcentral